GAAUAUUGGUCAAUAGCCUAACGGCUGAACCAGCAACUUGGAGGAAUGUAUAGCGAAAGCUAAUUGUAUUAGCAGGCAACGGUUAAUACAAUAUCGACUAUGUCGACUAAAGUUCUAGGUAGAGUAAUGAUAAUGACAUUUUCUACCUAUGUGUCUUGACCAAGUCACGUGCCAGCAGUCGCGGUAAUACGUGGAAGACAAGUGUUAUUCAUCUUUAAUAGGUUUAAAGGGUACCCAGACGGCAUAUUUAGCCUUAAAAAGGUACUAAAUAAACUAGAGUUUAAUGUGAGGGGGGGGGUACUAAAGGUGUAGAGAUGAAAUUCUGUCAUACCUGGAGGAGACUGGUAGCGGCGAAAGCAACCCUUUAUGCAAAAACUGACGUUGAAG
RNAcentral lists this ribosomal RNA (387 nucleotides) under Umbilicaria aprina. RNAcentral's name for it is "mitochondrial SSU rRNA". It matches the Rfam family "Bacterial small subunit ribosomal RNA", at positions 359 to 751 of the family's 1533-position model. The record is from RNAcentral. Lineage: Eukaryota; Fungi; Ascomycota; Lecanoromycetes; Umbilicariales; Umbilicariaceae.